GGGGAAUUUUCCGCAAUGGGCGCAAGCCUGACGGAGCAAUACCGCGUGAGGGAUGACGGCCUAUGGGUUGUAAACCUCUUUUCUCAGGGAGGAAUCAAUGACGUGUACCUGAGGAAUAAGCAUCGGCUAACUCCGUGCCAGCAGCCGCGGUAAGACGGAGGAUGCAAGUGUUAUCCGGAAUCACUGGGCGUAAAGCGUCUGUAGGUGGUCAAAUAAGUCAACUGUUAAAUCUUGAGGCUUAACCUCAAAAUCGCAGUCGAAACUAUUAGACUAGAGUAUAGUAGGGGUAAAGGGAAUUUCCAGUGGAGCGGUGAAAUGCGUAGAGAUUGGAAAGAACACCGAUGGCGAAGGCACUUUACUGGGCUAUUACUGACACUCAGAGACGAAAGCUAGGGUAGCAAAUGGGAUUAGAUACCCCAGUAGUC
Molecule: ribosomal RNA, 425 nt
Filed under: uncultured cyanobacterium
Lineage: Bacteria; Bacillati; Cyanobacteriota
Description: bacterial SSU rRNA
Rfam family: Bacterial small subunit ribosomal RNA
Source: RNAcentral